Molecule: long non-coding RNA, 478 nt
Filed under: Mytilus galloprovincialis (Mediterranean mussel)
Lineage: Eukaryota; Metazoa; Mollusca; Bivalvia; Mytilida; Mytilidae
Source: RNAcentral
UCGGGUGUUUUUAAGCUCGGGAUUUCGGGAUUGACCCUUUCGGGAUCCGGGAAUCGUUUUUUUUUUUCGGAUUUCGGGACAUCGGGAUUUACUUUAUUUAAAUUCGGGACCUCGGGAAUUCGUUAUUUUAAGUCCGGGAUUUCGGGAUCAGGACCCCUCCUAUCCCCCUUCUCUUCUGAAAUCAGACUGGGACUUCUCUUAAAAUUGAACUGAAUUUUAAUGUGCGUUGUAAAUAUACAAUUUCUUGGUAUUGUUAUGCGUUUACUUUUCUACAUUGGCUAGAGGUAUAGGGGGAGGGUUGAUAUCUCAUAAACAUGUUUAACCCCGCCGCAUUUUUGCGCCUGUCCCAAGUCAGGAACCUCUGGCCUUUGUUAGUCUUGUAUUAUUUUAAUUUUAGUUUCUUCGUGUACAUUUGGAGUUUAGUAUGGCGUUCAUUAUCACUGAACUAUUAUAUAUUUGUUUAGGGGCCAGCUGAAGG